CCACAGGUAAAGUCCAGCCCCCAAUGCUGGAGACAAGGUGAGGAUAAACAUUAGGCUGAAACAAAAACUGGAGUGUGGCUCCAAGGCAAGACAGCAGGACUACGGCACAGAAGGACCACAGUUCAAAGGCUCUGUCUGGCACUUGUGAAAUGGCCAUGCCUGGCCAUCUGGAUGGCACAGUGCGAAUCGUGACACCUAUGUUUCACCAGUACCCCUCCCGUCCGCCGUAUGAAAGCUGACAUUGUCUUGUUGACCUUUCCCCUACAACAUGCCACCGCAGCAAGGUCUCUAGUAUGACUCCAAUGUAGCCGAGGAACCACACCACAACCACAUCAGGAACCAUUUCCCUAAUCCGGUCCACGUUCCUCUUCUGUUUCUGAACAGCUGUUUUCCUGCUUGCCCAAUAG
Molecule: non-coding RNA, 407 nt
Organism: Pelobates cultripes (western spadefoot toad)
Lineage: Eukaryota; Metazoa; Chordata; Amphibia; Anura; Pelobatidae
Source: the annotation of a GenBank genome assembly